Molecule: transfer RNA, 69 nt
Filed under: Marmota marmota marmota (Alpine marmot)
Lineage: Eukaryota; Metazoa; Chordata; Mammalia; Rodentia; Sciuridae
Also listed under: 2 other names
Rfam family: tRNA
About the family: Transfer RNA (tRNA) molecules are approximately 80 nucleotides in length.
Source: Rfam by way of RNAcentral
GGUAUAUAGCUCAGUUAGUAGAGUGCUUGCCUUACAUGCACAAGGCUCUGGGUCCAAUCCCCAGAACCA